Molecule: ribosomal RNA, 499 nt
Filed under: uncultured bacterium
Lineage: Bacteria
Description: partial 16S ribosomal RNA
Rfam family: Bacterial small subunit ribosomal RNA
Source: RNAcentral
GACGAACGCUGGCGGCGUGCCUAAUACAUGCAAGUCGAGCGGACUGAAUGGGAGCUUGCUCUUGUUCGGUCAGCGGCGGACGGGUGAGUAACACGUGGGCAACCUGCCCGCAAGACCGGGAUAACUCCGGGAAACCGGAGCUAAUACCGGAUAACACCGAAGACCGCAUGGUCUUUGGUUGAAAGGCGGCGCAAGCUGCCACUUGCGGAUGGGCCCGCGGCGCAUUAGCUAGUUGGUGAGGUAACGGCUCACCAAGGCGACGAUGCGUAGCCGGCCUGAGGGGGUGACCGGCCACACUGGGACUGAGACACGGCCCAGACUCCUACGGGAGGCAGCAGUAGGGAAUCUUCCGCAAUGGGCGAAAGCCUGACGGAGCGACGCCGCGGGAGCGAAGAAGGCCUUCGGGUCGUAAAGCUCUGUUGUGAGGGACGAAGGAGCGCCGUUUGAAGAAGGCGGCGCGGUGACGGUACCUCACGAGGAAGCCCCGGCUAACUACGUG